AGCAAACUAAAACAGCAUUCCAAAACAUCUUACGCUACUCCGGGUCCGAGCAAACCGAGUCUGCAAAUGGUUAAUACCGAACUAUCUGGUGGUUUGCUUGAUCCCGACGAUACUCCAUUCUUAAUCACCAAGAACAUAUUACGACAGCUUAUUCGUGGUACUUAUAUGGGUCCGAAGG
This is a long non-coding RNA of Anopheles coluzzii, 178 nucleotides long. RefSeq lists it as uncharacterized. The transcript has 3 exons. The record is from RefSeq and is a predicted model, not a curated record. Lineage: Eukaryota; Metazoa; Arthropoda; Insecta; Diptera; Culicidae.